UACACAGAGAGCUUGCUCUCGGGUGACGAGCGGCGGACGGGUGAGUAAUGUCUGGGAAACUGCCUGAUGGAGGGGGAUAACUACUGGAAACGGUAGCUAAUACCGCAUAAUGUCGCAAGACCAAAGUGGGGGACCUUCGGGCCUCAUGCCAUCAGAUGUGCCCAGAUGGGAUUAGCUAGUAGGUGGGGUAACGGCUCACCUAGGCGACGAUCCCUAGCUGGUCUGAGAGGAUGACCAGCCACACUGGAACUGAGACGCGGUCCAGACUCCUACGGGAGGCAGCAGUGGGGAAUAUUGCACAAUGGGCGCAAGCCUGAUGCAGCCAUGCCGCGUGUGUGAAGAAGGCCUUCGGGUUGUAAAGCACUUUCAGCGGGGAGGAAGGCGAUAAGGUUAAUAACCUUGUCGAUUGACGUUACCCGCAGAAGAAGCACCGGCUAACUCCGUGCCAGCAGCCGCGGUAAUACGGAGGGUGCAAGCGUUAAUCGGAAUUACUGGGCGUAAAGCGCACGCAGGCGGUCUGUCAAGUCGGAUGUGAAAUCCCCGGGCUCAACCUGGGAACUGCAUUCGAAACUGGCAGGCUAGAGUCUUGUAGAGGGGGGUAGAAUUCCAGGUGUAGCGGUGAAAUGCGUAGAGAUCUGGAGGAAUACCGGUGGCGAAGGCGGCCCCCUGGACAAAGACUGACGCUCAGGUGCGAAAGCGUGGGGAGCAAACAGGAUUAGAUACCCUGGUAGUCCACGCCGUAAACGAUGUCGAUUUGGAGGUUGUGCCCUUGAGGCGUGGCUUCCGGAGCUAACGCGUUAAAUCGACCGCCUGGGGAGUACGGCCGCAAGGUUAAAACUCAAAUGAAUUGACGGGGGCCCGCACAAGCGGUGGAGCAUGUGGUUUAAUUCGAUGCAACGCGAAGAACCUUACCUGGUCUUGACAUCCACAGAACUUUCCAGAGAUGGAUUGGUGCCUUCGGGAACUGUGAGACAGGUGCUGCAUGGCUGUCGUCAGCUCGUGUUGUGAAAUGUUGGGUUAAGUCCCGCAACGAGCGCAACCCUUAUCCUUUGUUGCCAGCGGUUAGGCCGGGAACUCAAAGGAGACUGCCAGUGAUAAACUGGAGGAAGGUGGGGAUGACGUCAAGUCAUCAUGGCCCUUACGACCAGGGCUACACACGUGCUACAAUGGCAUAUACAAAGAGAAGCGACCUCGCGAGAGCAAGCGGACCUCAUAAAGUAUGUCGUAGUCCGGAUUGGAGUCUGCAACUCGACUCCAUGAAGUCGGAAUCGCUAGUAAUCGUAGAUCAGAAUGCUACGGUGAAUACGUUCCCGGGCCUUGUACACACCGCCCGUCACACCAUGGGAGUGGGUUGCAAAAGAAGUAGGUAGCUUAACCUUCGGG
Molecule: ribosomal RNA, 1383 nt
Filed under: uncultured bacterium
Lineage: Bacteria
Description: bacterial SSU rRNA
Rfam family: Bacterial small subunit ribosomal RNA
Source: RNAcentral